GUAUGGAUUGUUUCUUCCAAAAGUAAGCAAAGAUUUCAAUGUCUUUAUGAUAAGCGUUCACUUUGGGGAAGUUAUUUAUUUUAUAUGACAAACAAACAAACAAACCCUAAAACGUUUGUUGUAUCAGUCAGUGGUUUCAGAUUACUCUAAAAGGGCAUGCUGGGAAAAAGGAAAUAGACCAAGCAGAAUGGAAACUCAGUCAGAAACCAGGAAUGAGAUCAGAGCAACACUGGCAAUUGCCAUUUUUCUCAUAAUAUAUAAGGUAGCCAAUGUGUCUAAAUGUGUCUUACAUGACCAAGCCAUCAUGAAAGGGUAAAUGGCUGCAAAACACUGGUGUAAAAUUUGUGCUAUUAUGACUUUGUUCAUACCUGGAUUUGGCUGGGUUAAAGUCUGUGUCAUGGAAAUAGCUUCACCACCCACCCACACACACACACACACACACUCCUAGUGUUUGGUUUGAUUUUUUUUGGGGGGGUGGUGGUAAUUGUGUUGCCAGUUCUCUGUGUUAUGAGUUGUUUCUUUAUUAUUAUUAUUUUUUUAAUUGUGCCAAAUGCUUUGCUAAAGAUGCUCAUCGUGAGAGGCUGAGGCAGACUACGCACGCACGCAUCUCAGUCUCCCUGCAUAUGCACUCAUGAUUUACUCUGACUGUGGAAUCACCCCAUACUGUUAAAGGGCAUGUGAUAUUAACAAAUGUUUGCAGUCUCUUGUACAGCUGUAAGCAAAAUAAUUAACUAAUUAAACUAAUUAAAUGUAAUUACAAUAACUCAUUUUGGGCAUAUUGCAGCUGCUUAAUUUUUUUUUUCUCCUCUUCUCUGACAGUCACUAAGAGAAUGUGUAACGUUUAGAGUAGCUGCUUCAAGGCCUGAAUGUCAGUCACAUGCCACAGAUUUAAGAGAGCGAAUGGGUACACAUUUGCAAUCUUUAAUUAUCUUACAGACUGGUAUUGGAAAACACAGCUUUAACGACUGCAGCCCUUUCUUAUUGAAGCUAGAGGAAAACAGUCCUUAUGUUGGUAGUCAACAAUCCCCAGCCUCAGCCUUUGACGAUUCACUCGAGCUGCUUAACAGUCAUGAAGAAUAAUUAAAGAAAAGAAUGAUUUAGAAAGUAAUCCAUCCAGACUCAAAUUGGGGAAGUAGGUAGCAGUUUGUGGACUAAGAAUGACGAAGGGGUUAAAAGCAUGCUAAAGUUUCUGCAUUUCAAAAGUCGUGAUUAUAUGCUUGGAGAGAUAGGACAGGCAGGAGAAACAGCAGCUGAAUGGUGCCUUUUGAUUUUGAUUUUUUUUUUAUAAUGUUGCCCAGUAUUCUUUAGGUAAUACCAUCUUUGGCUGGUAUGCUUAUUUGGUGUGUGCUUAAGCUGGCAAAUGUGUUGACUACUUACUUUCACUGGCUUCUCUAGAGUCUUCUCUGGGUAAUUGCUGGUUGAUUGGGGUGGGGUGAGGGAGGAGCUUUCCUGUCUCCCAUUGUCAUUUUUGUUUAAUUCCCCCCUCCCUCUUUGUGGCAAGCUAGAACAGCUUAGCUCAGGGUUCGUAUCCUAGCAACAUCAAUUGGCUGGCAGAGGGACAUGCCCAGCAGAUGACCAAUCAGAAAUGUUAUUAAUAGUCAGGCCAAUAAAAAUAUCUGGAACUUAAGCUUGCCUAGAAAAAAUGAGGUUCAUGGUUUCCUUAGAUGUGGGAAGCAUUUGGUUGCCAUUUUUGAAUAUGUUUGCCAGAGAAACAUGACUAUGCAGAAGGUAACUUCCAGGGAUAAAGAAGAGUGUUGACUAGAAUUGCCUGCUCUGUUUUCUCAAACUGCCACAUGUUUUCCACCAAAGCUUUUUAAAAGCAUGCAUGGCUUAAAACAGUAAAGUAGUCCCCUGCUCAUGUUAAUAGAUUUGGGGUGAGUAGUAAAAUAUGAAUGUUAGGUCGGUUCCAUUAUUUGAUACUUGAAAUGUUUGCUUUAUUAUGUAAAGAAAAGAUCCUAACAUCAUAUUUUUACCUUUAGAAGCCACAGG
This 1989-nucleotide long non-coding RNA is filed under the name Mus musculus (house mouse). RNAcentral's name for it is "long non-coding RNA chr1:19219253-19221242". The record is from RNAcentral. Lineage: Eukaryota; Metazoa; Chordata; Mammalia; Rodentia; Muridae.